RNAcentral lists this unclassified non-coding RNA (589 nucleotides) under Hevea brasiliensis (rubber tree). The record is from RNAcentral. Lineage: Eukaryota; Viridiplantae; Streptophyta; Magnoliopsida; Malpighiales; Euphorbiaceae.
AUUGAAUAAUAACAUUUAUUAAUAAAAAAAUAAUUUUAAAUAUAUAUUUUUUCUUCUCUCUGCUCUUUUCACAUCUCUCAUUCCAGUUCUCCCUGCUUCCCAUCCAUCCUCUAUCUCUCUCUCCCCCACCAUGCAUCCCCUAUUCUCUCUUACUAUUUGAACUCUACGAGCAUACACUCUACGAAAAAGAUCAAACUAUAGAUGAGAAUGGAAGAAGGUGGAGCCAUAGCAAAUGAAAGGAAAGAAGCUAGAGCAGGUACUGUGAUUCACUCAAGCCUAUGAUGGCCACUUUCCCAGUGCAGGGUCCAAUCUUUAGGACAGCAUCAGGGGUGCUGUAUAGCAGAUUUCUAGUGGUUGGAGUUGUAGAGAUGGUGGAUUGAGAGAAAUUGAGAGGGAACGUGUGAGAGAGGGAGAAAAAUUCGGUGGAGAGAGACAGGGAGGGAAUUUUAUGGGAGAGAGAAAUAUUAAAAUUAGAAUUACUUUUUAUUUUUUAAUUAAAAAAUAUUAUUAUUUUAUUCAGUUUUGACCAAAUUUUGUUGACUGGAUAAAAUUGCAACAAAUUGUUUCAAUUUGGCCUAAAUUGCCAAAA